RNAcentral lists this ribosomal RNA (2345 nucleotides) under metagenome. RNAcentral describes it as "bacterial LSU rRNA". It matches the Rfam family "Bacterial large subunit ribosomal RNA", at positions 3 to 2370 of the family's 2925-position model. The record is from RNAcentral.
UCAAGUUAUUAAGGGUGCAGGGCGGAUGCCUUGGCACUAGGAGCCGAUGAAGGACGUGAUAAGCUGCGAUAAGCUUCGGGGAGUUGCACGUAAACUUUGAUCCGAAGAUUUCCGAAUGAGGAAACUCACUUAGAGUAAUGUCUAAGUAUCAUUAAGUGAAUACAUAGCUUAAUGAGGGGAACUCAGGGAACUGAAACAUCUAAGUACCUGAAGGAAGAGAAAGAAAUUCGAUUCCGUAAGUAGCGGCGAGCGAACGCGGAUUAGCCCAAACCAAUAAAGUUUUCUUUAUUGGGGUUGCGGACAUAUCAUAACGAAGAGGUAUCGUAAUUGAAGAGGUUUGGAAAGACCCACCACAGAAGGUAAUAGUCCUGUAUGUUAAACGAGAAGACUUCAGAUAUGAUCCAGAGUACCACGGGACACGUGAAACCCUGUGGGAAGCAGGAGGGACCACCCUCCAAGGCUAAAUACUACCUAGUGACCGAUAGCGUAUAGUACCGUGAGGGAAAGGUGAAAAGAACCCCGGGAGGGGAGUGAAAUAGAACCUGAAACCCUGCACUUACAAGCUGUGGAAGCACAUUUCUUGUGUGACCGCGUACUUUUUGUAGAACGGGCCAACGAGUUACGUUAAGUAGCAAGGUUAAGCACUUAAGGUGCGGAGCCGUAGCGAAAGCGAGUUUUAACUGAGCGUUCAGUUACUUGACGUAGACCCGAAACCGGGCGACCUACCCAUGAGCAGGAUGAAGCGAAAGUAAAAUUUCGUGGAGGUCCGAACCCACGAGCGUUGAAAAGCUCGGGGAUGACUUGUGGGUAGCGGUGAAAUUCCAAUCGAGCCCGGAGAUAGCUGGUUCUCCCCGAAAUAGCUUUAGGGCUAGCCUCAAGGUGAGAGAUACGGAGGUAGAGCACUGAAUGUCCUAGGGGGUAUUGCACCUACCGAAGACUAUCAAACUCCGAAUGCCGUCAUCUUAUACUUGGGAGUCAGACUGUGGGUGAUAAGAUUCAUAGUCGAAAGGGCAACAGCCCAGAUCGUCAGCUAAGGUCCCUAAAUGUAAGUUAAGUGGUAAAGGAUGUGGGAUUGCACAGACAACCAGGAUGUUGGCUUAGAAGCAGCCACUCAUUCAAAGAGUGCGUAAUAGCUCACUGGUCGAGUGAUCCUGCGCCGAAGAUUUCCGGGGCUAAAACUUACUACCGAAGCUACGGCAUCAGUAAUGAUGGGUAGGGGAGCUUCCCAUACGGGUUGAAGCAUGACCGUAAGGACAUGUGGACAGUAUGGGAGUGAGAAUGUUGGCAUGAGUAGCGAGAUGUGGGUGAGAAUCCCACAGGCCGUAAACCCAAGGUUUCCAGGGGAAGGUUCGUCCGCCCUGGGUUAGUCGGGACCUAAGCUGAGGCCGAAAGGCGUAGGUGAUGGACAACAGGUUGAUAUUCCUGUACUACCGAUAACCGUUUGAGAGAAGGGAUGACACAGUAGGAUAAGCUAAGCACACUGUUGGUUAUGUGUGCCCAAGCAUUGAGGCAGUCAAAGUAGGCAAAUCCGCUUUGAUAAUGCUGGGAUGUGAUGGGGAGCGAAAUUUAGUAGCGAAGUAGCUGAUUUCACACUGUCAAGAAAAGUCUCUAUCGAGGUUAAAGGUACCCGUACCGCAAACCGACACAGGUGGGUGAGGAGAGUAUCCUAAGGCCAGCGAGAGAACUGUUGUUAAGGAACUCGGCAAAAUGACCCCGUAACUUAGGGAUAAGGGGUGCCACCAUCAGGUGGCCGCAGAGAAUAGGCCCAAGCGACUGUUUACCAAAAACAUAGGUUUCUGCUAAGUCGCAAGACGAUGUAUAGGAGCUGACGCCUGCCCGGUGCUGGAAGGUUAAGGGGAUCUGUUAGAGCAAUCGAAGCAGUGAACUUAAGCCCCAGUAAACGGCGGCCGUAACUAUAACGGUCCUAAGGUAGCGAAAUUCCUUGUCGGGUAAGUUCCGACCCGCACGAAAGGCGUAACGAUUUGGGCACUGUCUCAACAACAGACUCGGUGAAAUUGUAAUUCCGGUGAAGAUGCCGGAUACCUGCGACAGGACGGAAAGACCCCAUGGAGCUUUACUGUAGCUUGACAUUGGGUCUUGGUACUACAUGUACAGGAUAGGUGGGAGGCUUUGAAACCAGGACGCCAGUUUUGGCGGAGCCAUCCUUGGGAUACCACCCUUGUAGUACUGGGACUCUAACCAUAGGCCAUGAAUCUGGUCUUGGGACACUGUCAGGUGGGCAGUUUGACUGGGGCGGUCGCCUCACAAAAGGUAAAGGAGGCGCUCCAAGGUGCUCUCAGUACGGUCGGAACUCGUACGGAGAGUGGAAAGGCAAAAGAGAGCGU